AAAGGUCUUUUUGAUGUAUUCUCCUACAGAGUGUAGUAUACACUACACUGAACUUAAUAUAGUGAAGUAUGUUCACCACAAAGAUUAUAUGUUUAUAUUUAAAAAAAUAAAUAACCCACAUUAAAAUCUUCAAAUAAUAACUUAAGGGUAAUAUUCAUAGAUUUAUUAAAAUAUAAGGAUGAUAGGACUAUCGUGCCUAAUAUUAGUAUAAUUCAUAUAAUAAGAAUGAAGUAAGUACUGAUCCGAAAUCAGGAGUUUUUAAGCACUAGUUGAUGCAAGUGUCAAUUGCACCCUUGGAUAUAUCUGUUAACAGUUUUAUGGUCCCCAAUGUUAAGAGUCGCCUUGUAUUUAAAGUCAUAUUGACAAAUGGAUUUUGUCAUAUUAUAAUAUUUGUCAGUGGUUUAGAACUUAAUACAUUUCAUUUACAUUUUAUUAUAUUAUAGAUUGAUAAUAGUUGGUGACAUGAAUGGGAUACCAAUUUAAUAAAAAAACUUAGUGCAAAUACAAAAAGCUUUGAUAUUGGUCAACCAGUAUUUUAAAAACCCAUUCACACAACAGAGUAAAGUGGAUUUCAGUACUGUAAAAGAUCAUCGUCAAAACCAAAAUGAGUUCCACUUGAGAUAUUAUUAGAUACUUCAGAUGAUACUUCUUUGACAGAAUCGGCUGAAAUUGAUUUGAAUGAAUCAUCACAUAAAUAAGAAAAAUUGUGUUUACAAGAAGAGAGAAGUAGAAUUCAGGAUCAGCCUGAAAAGUCAGAUGGAUCAGGCAAUAACACUGAGAGGGAAGAGAUGUUACAGUCACUUUUUAUUCAAAAAUUUAUUUUGAGGAAUGGAUGUUGGUAGAUUAUAAUAUUUGUCAGUGAUUUAGACUGAAUGCAUUUCAUUAGUUUUUGACUAUUUUAUUAUAUCAUAGAUUGAUAACACCCAAGGGCAGAUGAAUAAACGAGUGAUUAAUAA
Long non-coding RNA from Harmonia axyridis, 956 nucleotides. RefSeq lists it as uncharacterized. NCBI's taxonomy places the organism in Eukaryota, Metazoa, Arthropoda, Insecta, Coleoptera, Coccinellidae. The record is from RefSeq and is a predicted model, not a curated record. The transcript is spliced from 2 exons.